RNAcentral lists this ribosomal RNA (437 nucleotides) under uncultured Oscillospiraceae bacterium. RNAcentral's name for it is "bacterial SSU rRNA". It matches the Rfam family "Bacterial small subunit ribosomal RNA", at positions 341 to 792 of the family's 1533-position model. The record is from RNAcentral. Lineage: Bacteria; Bacillati; Bacillota; Clostridia; Eubacteriales; Oscillospiraceae.
ACGGAAGGCAGCAGUGGGGAAUAUUGGGCAAUGGGCGAAAGCCUGACCCAGCGACGCCGCGUGAGGGAAGAAGAUCUUCGGAUUGUAAACCUUAGUCAACAGGGAAGAAGAAAGUGACGGUACCUGUGGAGGAAGCCACGGCUAACUACGUGCCAGCAGCCGCGGUAAUACGUAGGUGGCGAGCGUUAUCCGGAUUUACUGGGUGUAAAGGGUGUGUAGGCGGGUCUGCAAGUCAGAUGUGAAACCUAUGGGCUUAACCCAUAGCCUGCAUUUGAAACUGCGGUUCUUGAGUGAAGUAGAGGUAAGCGGAAUUCCUAGUGUAGCGGUGAAAUGCGUAGAUAUUAGGAGGAACAUCAGUGGCGAAGGCGGCUUACUGGGCUUUAACUGACGCUGAGGCUCGAAAGCGUGGGGAGCAAACAGGAUUAGAUACCCUGGUA